Molecule: non-coding RNA, 38 nt
Organism: Schistosoma rodhaini
Lineage: Eukaryota; Metazoa; Platyhelminthes; Trematoda; Strigeidida; Schistosomatidae
Source: Rfam
UGCUGAGGAGUCCCAUAAUAGAACGAAACGGCCGUCCA